Molecule: transfer RNA, 81 nt
Filed under: Bifidobacteriaceae bacterium MCC01966
Lineage: Bacteria; Bacillati; Actinomycetota; Actinomycetes; Bifidobacteriales; Bifidobacteriaceae
Description: tRNA-Sec
Source: RNAcentral
CGCCGGAUCGGGGUGGGCGCACCGGUUGACCGCCCAUUUCAGAUGGGCGGGAUCGUCGUCGUACCGGUCGCCGUCCGGCGC